UAGGGAAUCUUCCGCAAUGGACGCAAGUCUGACGGAGCAACGCCGCGUGAGUGAAGAAGGAUUUCGGUUCGUAAAACUCUGUUGUUAGAGAAGAACAGCGCAUAGAGUAACUGUUAUGCGUGUGACGGUAUCUAACCAGAAAGCCACGGCUAACUACGUGCCAGCAGCCGCGGUAAUACGUAGGUGGCAAGCGUUGUCCGGAUUUAUUGGGCGUAAAGCGAGCGCAGGCGGUCAAUUAAGUCUGAUGUGAAAGCCCCCGGCUCAACCGGGGAGGGUCAAUGGAAACUGGUUGACUUGAGUGCAGAAGAGGAGAGUGGAAUUCCAUGUGUAGCGGUGAAAUGCGUAGAUAUAUGGAGGAACACCAGUGGCGAAGGCGACUCUCUGGUCUGUAACUGACGCUGAGGUUCGAAAGCGUGGGUAGCAAACAGG
Molecule: ribosomal RNA, 429 nt
Filed under: Bacteroidota bacterium
Lineage: Bacteria; Pseudomonadati; Bacteroidota
Description: Bacteroidetes bacterium partial 16S ribosomal RNA
Rfam family: Bacterial small subunit ribosomal RNA
Source: RNAcentral